UCGGGCCAAAGGCAGUCGCCCGACGACACAGGCGAUCGUUCGCCCAAGCGCUGC
The submitters of this non-coding RNA (54 nucleotides) gave its source as unclassified sequences. The record is from Rfam.